RNAcentral lists this small RNA (406 nucleotides) under Arabidopsis thaliana (thale cress). RNAcentral describes it as "ATSL110280". Lineage: Eukaryota; Viridiplantae; Streptophyta; Magnoliopsida; Brassicales; Brassicaceae. The record is from RNAcentral.
AUAUUAUAAAUUUAUCAUAAUAUAUUGUAUUUUUAUUUCUUUUAAUAGUAAUAUAUUAUAUUUAUUUUGGUUAUUUUUUAUUUAAUUACUAUCGCAUCCGCUGGUUUACCAGUCAAACCCCGCAAACGCACCCAUUAUCAAACGCUCAACCAGUCGUUCAAAACUCUUGAUAACGCUUAAAACCGCAACCGUCCGUUUCCGCAAACUCCCGCAAUCGCAACCGCAUCCGCUGUGUUUAAACCAGUCAGGCCCUUAAUUUGGAAAUGUCGUUUGCUAAGAUUAUUUUUCUUUAAAUCGAUCUGUAUAUGAAAGAGUAUGCACGUCUCAAAGUGUUUAGGAAGAUAUUUUCAAGAGGAAAGGCAUUAAACAAAAAGAGAGUCAUAAGGAUAUUUCAAAGAUAUGAUAA